AAGUUUUUCACAAGCUUUUGCUUUGUUUUGAAGAUUUUCGAGUUUAAAGCAAGUUUUGGAGCUUUGAGGUUCAAGAACUCAAAACCUCCCACCUUCGAGUUUAGGACGUCUCUCUCUCGAUCUUCAAGAGGUAAGAGCCGAUCUUAAGCUCAUUUCAUGUUUAAAGAAAUUUUUAUGCAAGAUCUAUGGGGUAGGAUGCAUGUUUAGCUCAUAGUUAGGUUUUUGAGUUAAUGUUAUGUUUUGAGCUUGUAUGAUGGAUUUGAGUUGUUGUUGUGUGUUGUAGUUGGGGUUUAAGUUAGUUUGAAGCCCCUAGGAGCCAAUGUAUGUAUUUUUGCAUGAUUUGGA
RNAcentral lists this long non-coding RNA (345 nucleotides) under Manihot esculenta (cassava). Its description in RNAcentral is "long non-coding RNA (MESC_LNC011616)". Lineage: Eukaryota; Viridiplantae; Streptophyta; Magnoliopsida; Malpighiales; Euphorbiaceae. The record is from RNAcentral.